CUGAGAGUUCCCUGCACAGGUGAGGAAAGAUUAAACCAACUCAGAAUCUCAGGUGAUGCAGUGUGAGGUUCAGCACAGACCAGAAAAAGAGCAGGGAAAGCAGCCAAAAGAGAAAGUGGGUAAAUGUAUUUCCUGUCAGGAAACUCAGAAGGACUUCAAGGAAACCACAACCCAACAGAAAAUCCUGAGCGGAAAGAGAAAAAAUACAUUUUUUCCACACUCAGUGUAUGUAUGUGAUUACUCCAUCCUUAUAAAGCCUCAGAGAAUCCACACAGGGGAGAGG
Chelonoidis abingdonii (Abingdon island giant tortoise) is the source of this 283-nucleotide non-coding RNA. NCBI's taxonomy places the organism in Eukaryota, Metazoa, Chordata, Testudines, Testudinidae. The record is from RefSeq and is a predicted model, not a curated record.